Molecule: transfer RNA, 74 nt
Filed under: Burkholderia pseudomallei
Lineage: Bacteria; Pseudomonadati; Pseudomonadota; Betaproteobacteria; Burkholderiales; Burkholderiaceae
Description: tRNA-Met
Rfam family: tRNA
About the family: Transfer RNA (tRNA) molecules are approximately 80 nucleotides in length.
Source: RNAcentral
UGCGGGAUGGGGUACUGGUAGCCCAAAGGUCUCAUAAGCCUUGCAAGCGAGUUCGAUUCUCGCUCCCGCAACCA